RNAcentral lists this ribosomal RNA (338 nucleotides) under Amasa versicolor. Its description in RNAcentral is "partial 12S ribosomal RNA". The record is from RNAcentral. Lineage: Eukaryota; Metazoa; Arthropoda; Insecta; Coleoptera; Curculionidae.
UUAAAAUAUAAAACCUUAAUUAUUAGUAGUUAAGUUCUUGAAAAUUAAUAAAGAUGGCGGUAUUUUAGUCUAUUCAGAGGAACCUGUCCUGUAAUUGAUAUUCCACGAUUUUAUAUACUUGAGUUUUUAGCUUGUAUAUCGCUGUAGGUUGAAUAUUUCUGUUGAAUUACAAUAUUCAUGAUUUUUAGGGAAAGGAUUUCAAGUCAAGAUGUAGCUUAUAUUUAAGAAGAGAUGGGUUACAUUAUAGAUAAAUGUGGUUAGUUAAUUUUAAUGUUAAUUAUAAAAUGGAUUUGAAAGUAAUUUAUUAAAUUUUAAUGGAUGAUUAAAGCUCUAAAAUA